UUGGUGUGUUUGGAUAACUUUAGAAUGAUCGAGAGAUAGCGAGAGAGCGAGACAAGCUAGCUUGAGAGAGAAAGAGAGAGUUUGAGACUGAAGAAGAGGAGACGGGAAGAAGUUGAUGCUCGAUUCGAACAGAAAUUGAGUGAACUGAUCAUCCCAGGGUUGUUUGAAUUGGGAACAAAGAAACACAAGUGCAAGAAUUCUGUCUCUCUCAG
Molecule: long non-coding RNA, 212 nt
Organism: Rosa chinensis
Lineage: Eukaryota; Viridiplantae; Streptophyta; Magnoliopsida; Rosales; Rosaceae
Exons: 2
Source: RefSeq, a predicted model, not a curated record